CAGUAGCCGCGGGAAUACGAAGGGGGCUAGCGUUGUUCGGAAUUACUGGGCGUAAAGCGCACGUAGGCGGAUAUUUAAGUCAGGGGUGAAAUCCCGCAGCUCAACUGCGGAACUGCCUUUGAUACUGGGUAUCUUGAGUAUGGAAGAGGUUAGUGGAAUUGCGAGUGUAGAGGUGAAAUUCGUAGAUAUUUGCAGGAACACCAGUGGCGAAGGCGGCUAACUGGUCCAUAACUGACGCUGAGGUGCGAAAGCGUGGGGAGCAAACAGGAUUAGAUACCCGAGUAGUCCCUGUCUCUUAUAU
This 301-nucleotide ribosomal RNA is filed under the name uncultured bacterium. RNAcentral's name for it is "partial 16S ribosomal RNA". It matches the Rfam family "Bacterial small subunit ribosomal RNA", at positions 509 to 809 of the family's 1533-position model. The record is from RNAcentral.